RNAcentral lists this ribosomal RNA (559 nucleotides) under uncultured Glomus. Its description in RNAcentral is "partial large subunit ribosomal RNA". It matches the Rfam family "Eukaryotic large subunit ribosomal RNA", at positions 156 to 637 of the family's 3401-position model. The record is from RNAcentral. Lineage: Eukaryota; Fungi; Glomeromycota; Glomeromycetes; Glomerales; Glomeraceae.
AAGCGUUUUCUUGGGCUCGCGGCCGGUAGAAGUUCUUUGGAACAGGACAUCAUAGAGGGCGACAAUCCCGUCCGUGACCGGUCGUGCGUUCAUCUACGAUACGCUUUCAAAGAGUCGAGUUGUUUGGGAUUGCAGCUCCAAAUGGGUGGUAAACAUCACCUAAGGCUAAAUAUUGGCGAGAGACCGAUAGCGAACAAGUACCGUGAGGGAAAGAUGAAAAGAACUUUGAAAAGAGAGUUAAACAGUACGCGAAAUUGUUGAAAGGGAAACGAUUGAAGUCAGUCGUGCUGGCGCGAAAUCAACCAUCUCGUCUUGAGGUCACAUGGCGCGACGAGCCUCAAAACCGUCACGAAGCGUGAACUCUUGACGAAAAGGUGCACUUUCGUGUCCGCUGGUUAACAUCAAUUUCGAUCGUCAUAAAAAGGCUGGAGGGAUGUGGCUCCUUCGGGAGUGUUAUAACCUUUAGCGGAAUGUGGUGUUCGGGAUUGAGGAUUGCAACGAAUACCUUCAGGGCUGUUCCACCUGGCUUCUCAUUGGUAUCCUGGUGACGACGGCUUGC